Molecule: unclassified non-coding RNA, 303 nt
Organism: Cricetulus griseus (Chinese hamster)
Lineage: Eukaryota; Metazoa; Chordata; Mammalia; Rodentia; Cricetidae
Gene: 7SK
Rfam family: 7SK RNA
About the family: 7SK was discovered as an abundant small nuclear RNA in the mid-70s but a possible function has only recently been suggested. Two independent studies have found that 7SK RNA binds the CDK9/cyclin T complex (known as elongation factor P-TEFb).
Source: Ensembl
GGAUGUGGGGUGGCUGUAGCAUCUGUCACUCCAUUUAGCACCAGGGCCAAUCCAGCUGAUCUGGCUAGCUAGACAGGUGUCCUAUUCUUUCCUCACCACUCCAGGUGUAUUCCUCCUGAAGCUGUGUGCUUGGUUGAAAACGAUGACCUUCUCUAAGGUUGAUCUCAGGUCAAGUGCAUACAAGUAGAUGCAUUCUUUUGAUAGUUCCUUCGAAUAAGCUCCCAUAAUCUUUGAGGCAGCUGUUGAAGUGCUUAGUGAGCAUUUCUGACAACUCCCAGUGAACACACGCAGAAGUUUCUCCUA